GACGAACGCUGGCGGCGUGCCUAAUACAUGCAAGUAGAACGCUGAAGGAGGAGCUUGCUUCUCUGGAUGAGUUGCGAACGGGUGAGUAACGCGUAGGUAACCUGCCUGGUAGCGGGGGAUAACUAUUGGAAACGAUAGCUAAUACCGCAUAAGAGUAGAUGUCGCAUGACAUUUGCUUAAAAGGUGCAAUUGCAUCACUACCAGAUGGACCUGCGUUGUAUUAGCUAGUUGGUGAGGUAACGGCUCACCAAGGCAACGAUACAUAGCCGACCUGAGAGGGGGAUCGGCCACACUGGGACUGAGACACGGCCCAGACUCCUACGGGAGGCAGCAGUAGGGAAUCUUCGGCAAUGGACGGAAGUCUGACCGAGCAACGCCGCGUGAGUGAAGAAGGUUUUCGGAUCGUAAAGCUCUGUUGUAAGAGAAGAACGAGGGUGAGAGUGGAAAGUUCACACUGUGACGGUAUCUUACCAGAAAGGGACGGCUAACUACGUG
This 495-nucleotide ribosomal RNA is filed under the name uncultured bacterium. Its description in RNAcentral is "partial 16S ribosomal RNA". It matches the Rfam family "Bacterial small subunit ribosomal RNA", at positions 28 to 507 of the family's 1533-position model. The record is from RNAcentral.